This 500-nucleotide ribosomal RNA is filed under the name uncultured Glomus. RNAcentral describes it as "SSU rRNA". It matches the Rfam family "Eukaryotic small subunit ribosomal RNA", at positions 569 to 1074 of the family's 1831-position model. The record is from RNAcentral. Lineage: Eukaryota; Fungi; Glomeromycota; Glomeromycetes; Glomerales; Glomeraceae.
AGCAGCCGCGGUAAUUCCAGCUCCAAUAGCGUAUAUUAAAGUUGUUGCAGUUAAAAGGCUCGUAGUUGAAUUUCGAGACCGGUUUAUUGGUCGUGCUUUUGUACGUACUGGUAUUAUUGGUUUCUCCUUUCUGACGAAUCAUAAUGCCAUUAAUUUGGUGUUUUGGGGAAUCAGGACUGUUACUUUGAAAAAAUUAGAGUGUUUAAAGCAGGCUCACGCUUGAAUACAUUAGCAUGGAAUAACGAAAUAGGACGUUUGAUUUUAUUUUGUUGGUUUCUAGGAUCGACGUAAUGAUUAAUAGGGAUAGUUGGGGGCAUUAGUAUUCAAUUGUCAGAGGUGAAAUUCUUGGAUUUAUUGAAGACUAACUACAGCGAAAGCAUUUGCCAAGGAUGUUUUCAUUAAUCAAGAACGAAAGUUAGGGGAUCGAAGACGAUCAGAUACCGUCGUAGUCUUAACCAUAAACUAUGCCGACUAGGGAUCGGAUGAUGUUAAUUUUUAAU